Molecule: ribosomal RNA, 434 nt
Filed under: uncultured Lachnospiraceae bacterium
Lineage: Bacteria; Bacillati; Bacillota; Clostridia; Lachnospirales; Lachnospiraceae
Description: partial 16S ribosomal RNA
Rfam family: Bacterial small subunit ribosomal RNA
Source: RNAcentral
ACGGGAGGCAGCAGUGGGGAAUAUUGGACAAUGGGGGAAACCCUGAUCCAGCGACGCCGCGUGAGUGAAGAAGUAUUUCGGUAUGUAAAGCUCUAUCAGCAAGGAAGAAAAUGACGGUACUUGACUAAGAAGCCCCGGCUAACUACGUGCCAGCAGCCGCGGUAAUACGUAGGGGGCAAGCGUUAUCCGGAUUUACUGGGUGUAAAGGGAGCGUAGACGGCAUAGCAAGUCUGAAGUGAAAUGCAUGGGCUCAACCCAUGAACUGCUUUGGAAACUGUUAAGCUAGAGUGCAGGAGAGGUAAGUGGAAUUCCUAGUGUAGCGGUGAAAUGCGUAGAUAUUAGGAGGAACACCAGAGGCGAAGGCGGCUUACUGGACUGUAACUGACGUUGAGGCUCGAAAGCGUGGGGAGCAAACAGGAUUAGAUACCCUGGUA